CCCUUCCUUCACUGCAGGUGAGCUGCGGAGCUGCAGCGGGGCCCCGCCCCAUUCCGCCCGUAAGCCCAGGGAGCAAGGUCG
This is a microRNA precursor of Monodelphis domestica (gray short-tailed opossum), 81 nucleotides long. The record is from Ensembl. Lineage: Eukaryota; Metazoa; Chordata; Mammalia; Didelphimorphia; Didelphidae.